GCAGACUGAAGCCGAAAGUACCAAUCGAACCGUCAAACGCGGUACCAAUCGAACAAUGUAAAUAAACAUGCAAGUUUUGUGAUGAAGUGUUUGAGGAGUAUUGUAAUUAUUUCAAACAAGAUUUAAAAUAAGUUGCAACCUGUUGUUUUUGCUUGUAAACGUGAACGGAAGGAUGCUCAGCUUUAUGAAAACAACAAAAGUUUCACUUCAUCGCGGAAAAAAUACAUCGGAUCGGACCAGGAAAUGAAGCAUCUGGAGGAUAAGGAUCAUGCAUUUAUCGGAAACUUAGUGCUUCGAGCUGUGAAACAACCCAUCUAUAAAUAUGGUCACUACAUCCCAGUCUCGUUAUUUUUAAUCAGUUUAUGUUAAUCAAUGUUUUCCGGGUGAUUGUGUGUUAUAUACGCGAAUAAUAAAUGAAGCGGAGUUGCACGAGGCCAACUCGUAUCCAGCCUACCCCGUUAUCGCAGCCUACCCCAAAAAAAUGGAUUGUGCUUUGCAAGAAAUAAACUUGAAGGUAAAUACCCUAUACCAAACCAUCAAUAAGUUCAAUGGAUUUCGACGUUUUAAAUCACUGUUCUGCUUUCCGGGUAUUUGUGUAUCGCCGUAAUUAAUAGCACCACUCCCGACGUAAAAUAUUUUCAAAGCUGUACCUGAAAAAUAAAUGUAGCACAAGUAAAAUAAAUAAUAA
This is a long non-coding RNA of Armigeres subalbatus, 688 nucleotides long. RefSeq lists it as uncharacterized. Lineage: Eukaryota; Metazoa; Arthropoda; Insecta; Diptera; Culicidae. The transcript has 3 exons. The record is from RefSeq and is a predicted model, not a curated record.